RNAcentral lists this ribosomal RNA (522 nucleotides) under uncultured bacterium. RNAcentral describes it as "bacterial SSU rRNA". It matches the Rfam family "Archaeal small subunit ribosomal RNA", at positions 345 to 866 of the family's 1478-position model. The record is from RNAcentral.
AACCUCCGCAAUGUGAGAAAUCGCGACGGGGGGAUCCCAAGUGCCAUUCUUAAUGGGGAUGGCUUUUCAUUAGUGUAAAGAGCUUUUGGAAUAAGGGCUGGGCAAGACCGGUGCCAGCCGCCGCGGUAACACCGGCAGCUCUAGUGGUAGCAGUUUUUAUUGGGCCUAAAGCGUCCGUAGCCGGUUUAAUAAGUCUCUGGUGAAAUCCUGUAGCUUAACUGUGGGAAUUGCUGGAGAUACUAUUAGACUUGAGACCGGGAGAGGUUAGAGGUACUCCCAGGGUAGAGGUGAAAUUCUGUAAUCCUGGGAGGACCGCCUGUUGCGAAGGCGUCUAACUGGAACGGUUCUGACGGUGAGGGACGAAAGUUAGGGGCGCGAACCGGAUUAGAUACCCGGGUAGUCCUAACCGUAAACGAUGCGGACUUGGUGUUGGGGUGGCUUUGAGCUGCUCCAGUGCCGAAGGGAAGCUGUUAAGUCCGCCGCCUGGGAAGUACGGUCGCAAGACUGAAACUUAAAGGAAUU